RNAcentral lists this ribosomal RNA (596 nucleotides) under uncultured bacterium. Its description in RNAcentral is "bacterial SSU rRNA". It matches the Rfam family "Bacterial small subunit ribosomal RNA", at positions 338 to 947 of the family's 1533-position model. The record is from RNAcentral.
CCUACGGGAGGCAGCAGUGGGGAAUUUUCCGCAAUGGGCGAAAGCCUGACGGAGCAACGCCGCGUGAGGGAUGAAGGCCUCUGGGCUGUAAACCUCUUUUAUCAAGGAAGAAGAUCUGACGGUACUUGAUGAAUAAGCCACGGCUAAUUCCGUGCCAGCAGCCGCGGUAAUACGGGAGUGGCAAGCGUUAUCCGGAAUUAUUGGGCGUAAAGCGUCCGCAGGCGGUCUUGUAAGUCUGUCGUUAAAGCGUGGAGCUUAACUCCAUUUCGGCGGUGGAAACUACAAGACUAGAGUGUGGUAGGGGCAGAGGGAAUUCCCGGUGUAGCGGUGAAAUGCGUAGAUAUCGGGAAGAACACCAGUGGCGAAGGCGCUCUGCUGGGCCAUAACUGACGCUCAUGGACGAAAGCUAGGGGAGCGAAAGGGAUUAGAUACCCCUGUAGUCCUAGCCGUAAACGAUGAACACUAGGUGUCGGGGGAAUCGACCCCCUCGGUGUCGUAGCUAACGCGUUAAGUGUUCCGCCUGGGGAGUACGCACGCAAGUGUGGAACUCAAAUGAAUUGACGGCUGNGACGNGCGAGCGACGACGAGGGAGUAGG